GGUGACCUGCGGAAGGAUCAUUACCUAGAGUUGUAGGCUUUGCCUGCUAUCUCUUACCCAUGUCUUUUGAGUACCUUACGUUUCCUCGGUGGGUUCGCCCACCGAUUGGACAAACUUAAACCCUUUGCAGUUGAAAUCAGCGUCUGAAAAAACUUAAUAGUUACAACUUUCAACAACGGAUCUCUUGGUUCUGGCAUCGAUGAAGAACGCAGCGAAAUGCGAUAAGUAGUGUGAAUUGCAGAAUUCAGUGAAUCAUCGAAUCUUUGAACGCACAUUGCGCCCCUUGGUAUUCCAUGGGGCAUGCCUGUUCGAGCGUCAUUUGUACCUUCAAGCUCUGCUUGGUGUUGGGUGUUUGUCUCCUGUAGACUCGCCUUAAAACAAUUGGCAGCCGGCGUAUUGAUUUCGGAGCGCAGUACAUCUCGCGCUUUGCACUCAUAACGACGACAUCCAAAAGUACAUUUUUACACUCUUGACCUCGGAUCAGGUAGGGAUACCCGCUGAACUUAAGCAUAUCAAU
RNAcentral lists this ribosomal RNA (517 nucleotides) under Phoma herbarum. RNAcentral's name for it is "eukaryotic LSU rRNA". The stretch from base 165 to 318 matches the Rfam family "5.8S ribosomal RNA". Lineage: Eukaryota; Fungi; Ascomycota; Dothideomycetes; Pleosporales; Didymellaceae. The record is from RNAcentral.